This 252-nucleotide ribosomal RNA is filed under the name uncultured bacterium. RNAcentral describes it as "partial 16S ribosomal RNA". It matches the Rfam family "Bacterial small subunit ribosomal RNA", at positions 524 to 776 of the family's 1533-position model. The record is from RNAcentral.
UACGUAGGGUGCAAGCGUGUCCGGAAUUAUUGGGCGUAAAGAGCUCGUAGGCGGCCUGUCGCGUCGGCUGUGAAAACCCGAGGCUCAACCUCGGGCCUGCAGUCGAUACGGGCAGGCUAGAGUUCGGUAGGGGAGACUGGAAUUCCUGGUGUAGCGGUGAAAUGCGCAGAUAUCAGGAGGAACACCGGUGGCGAAGGCGGGUCUCUGGGCCGAAACUGACGCUGAGGAGCGAAAGCGUGGGGAGCGAACAGG